Molecule: non-coding RNA, 45 nt
Organism: Trichobilharzia regenti
Lineage: Eukaryota; Metazoa; Platyhelminthes; Trematoda; Strigeidida; Schistosomatidae
Source: Rfam
AUCCAGCUGACAAGUCCCAAAUAGGACGAAAUGCGCAUCUUGAAU